UACGGCCGCAAGGCUAAAACUCAAAGGAAUUGACGGGGCCCCGCACAAGCGGCGGAGCAUGCGGCUUAAUUCGAUGCGACCCGAAGAACCUUACCUGGGUUUGACAUCAUGGGAAAAACUGUAGAGAUACAGUGUGCGUAAGCGUCCAUGACAGGUGGUGCAUGGCUGUCGUCAGCUCGUGUCGUGAGAUGUUGGGUUAAGUCCCGCAACGAGCGCAACCCUCGUCCUAUGUUGCCAGCACGUAAUGGUGGGGACUCAUGGGAGACUGCCGGGGACAACUCGGAGGAAGGUGAGGACGACGUCAAGUCAGCAUGCCCCUUAUAUCCAGGGCUGCACGCAUGCUACAAUGGCCGGUACAACGGGCUGCGAUCCCGCGAGGGUGAGCGAAUCCCUUAAAGCCGGUCUCAGUUCGGAUUGAAGUCUGCAACUCGACUUCAUGAAGCCGGAGUCGCUAGUAAUCGUGGAUCAGCAAUGCCGCGGUGAAUACGUUCUCGGGGCUUGUACACACCGCCCGUCACAUCACGAAAGUUGGCAAUGCCCGAAGUCAGUGGUCCAACCCUUUUUGGGAGGAAGCUGCC
Molecule: ribosomal RNA, 578 nt
Filed under: uncultured deep-sea bacterium
Lineage: Bacteria
Description: bacterial SSU rRNA
Rfam family: Bacterial small subunit ribosomal RNA
Source: RNAcentral